GCGAUACAGGGUGACAGCCCCGUACACAAAAAUGCACAUAUUGUGAGCUCGAUGAGUAGGGCGGGACACGUGGUAUCCUGUCUGAAUAUGGGGGGACCAUCCUCCAAGGCUAAAUACUCCUGACUGACCGAUAGUGAACCAGUACCGUGAGGGAAAGGCGAAAAGAACCCCGGCGAGGGGAGUGAAAAAGAACCUGAAACCGUGUACGUACAAGCAGUGGGAGCCUCUUAAUGGGGUGACUGCGUACCUUUUGUAUAAUGGGUCAGCGACUUAUAUUCUGUAGCAAGGUUAACCGAAUAGGGGAGCCGAAGGGAAACCGAGUCUUAACUGGGCGUUAAGUUGCAGGGUAUAGACCCGAAACCCGGUGAUCUAGCCAUGGGCAGGUUGAAGGUUGGGUAACACUAACUGGAGGACCGAACCGACUAAUGUUGAAAAAUUAGCGGAUGACUUGUGGCUGGGGGUGAAAGGCCAAUCAAACCGGGAGAUAGCUGGUUCUCCCCGAAAGCUAUUUAGGUAGCGCCUCGUGAAUUCAUCUCCGGGGGUAGAGCACUGUUUCGGCAAGGGGGUCAUCCCGACUUACCAACCCGAUGCAAACUGCGAAUACCGGAGAAUGUUAUCACGGGAGACACACGGCGGGUGCUAACGUCCGUCGUGAAGAGGGAAACAACCCAGACCGCCAGCUAAGGUCCCAAAGUCAUGGUUAAGUGGGAAACGAUGUGGGAAGGCCCAGACAGCCAGGAUGUUGGCUUAGAAGCAGCCAUCAUUUAAAGAAAGCGUAAUAGCUCACUGGUCGAGUCGGCCUGCGCGGAAGAUGUAACGGGGCUAAACCAUGCACCGAAGCUGCGGCAGCGACACUAUGUGUUGUUGGGUAGGGGAGCGUUCUGUAAGCCUGUGAAGGUGGCCUGUGAGGGUUGCUGGAGGUAUCAGAAGUGCGAAUGCUGACAUAAGUAACGAUAAAGCGGGUGAAAAGCCCGCUCGCCGGAAGACCAAGGGUUCCUGUCCAACGUUAAUCGGGGCAGGGUGAGUCGACCCCUAAGGCGAGGCCGAAAGGCGUAGUCGAUGGGAAACAGGUUAAUAUUCCUGUACUUGGUGUUACUGCGAAGGGGGGACGGAGAAGGCUAUGUUGGCCGGGCGACGGUUGUCCCGGUUUAAGCGUGUAGGCUGGUUUUCCAGGCAAAUCCGGAAAACCAAGGCUGAGGCGUGAUGACGAGGCACUACGGUGCUGAAGCGACAAAUGCCCUGCUUCCAGGAAAAGCCUCUAAGCAUCAGGUAACAUCAAAUCGUACCCCAAACCGACACAGGUGGUCAGGUAGAGAAUACCAAGGCGCUUGAGAGAACUCGGGUGAAGGAACUAGGCAAAAUGGUGCCGUAACUUCGGGAGAAGGCACGCUGAUAUGUAGGUGAAGCGACUUGCUCGUGGAGCUGAAAUCAGUCGAAGAUACCAGCUGGCUGCAACUGUUUAUUAAAAACACAGCACUGUGCAAACACGAAAGUGGACGUAUACGGUGUGACGCCUGCCCGGUGCCGGAAGGUUAAUUGAUGGGGUUAGCGGUAACGCGAAGCUCUUGAUCGAAGCCCCGGUAAACGGCGGCCGUAACUAUAACGGUCCUAAGGUAGCGAAAUUCCUUGUCGGGUAAGUUCCGACCUGCACGAAUGGCGUAAUGAUGGCCAGGCUGUCUCCACCCGAGACUCAGUGAAAUUGAACUCGCUGUGAAGAUGCAGUGUACCCGCGGCAAGACGGAAAGACCCCGUGAACCUUUACUAUAGCUUGACACUGAACAUUGAGCCUUGAUGUGUAGGAUAGGUGGGAGGCUUUGAAGUGUGGACGCCAGUCUGCAUGGAGCCGACCUUGAAAUACCACCCUUUAAUGUUUGAUGUUCUAACGUUGGCCCGUAAUCCGGGUUGCGGACAGUGUCUGGUGGGUAGUUUGACUGGGGCGGUCUCCUCCUAAAGAGUAACGGAGGAGCACGAAGGUUGGCUAAUCCUGGUCGGACAUCAGGAGGUUAGUGCAAUGGCAUAAGCCAGCUUGACUGCGAGCGUGACGGCGCGAGCAGGUGCGAAAGCAGGUCAUAGUGAUCCGGUGGUUCUGAAUGGAAGGGCCAUCGCUCAACGGAUAAAAGGUACUCCGGGGAUAACAGGCUGAUACCGCCCAAGAGUUCAUAUCGACGGCGGUGUUUGGCACCUCGAUGUCGGCUCAUCACAUCCUGGGGCUGAAGUAGGUCCCAAGGGUAUGGCUGUUCGCCAUUUAAAGUGGUACGCGAGCUGGGUUUAGAACGUCGUGAGACAGUUCGGUCCCUAUCUGCCGUGGGCGCUGGAGAACUGAGGGGGGCUGCUCCUAGUACGAGAGGACCGGAGUGGACGCAUCACUGGUGUUCGGGUUGUCAUGCCAAUGGCACUGCCCGGUAGCUAAAUGCGGAAGAGAUAAGUGCUGAAAGCAUCUAAGCACGAAACUUGCCCCGAGAUGAGUUCUCCCUGAGACUUAGAGUCUCCUGAAGGAACGUUGAAGACGACGACGUUGAUAGGCCGGGUGUGUAAGCGCAGCGAUGCGUUGAGCUAACCGGUACUAAUGAACCGUGAGGCUUAACCUUACAACGCCGAAG
This 2600-nucleotide ribosomal RNA is filed under the name Escherichia coli. RNAcentral's name for it is "partial 23S ribosomal RNA". It matches the Rfam family "Bacterial large subunit ribosomal RNA", at positions 354 to 2925 of the family's 2925-position model. The record is from RNAcentral. Lineage: Bacteria; Pseudomonadati; Pseudomonadota; Gammaproteobacteria; Enterobacterales; Enterobacteriaceae.